Molecule: ribosomal RNA, 118 nt
Filed under: Carassius auratus (goldfish)
Lineage: Eukaryota; Metazoa; Chordata; Actinopteri; Cypriniformes; Cyprinidae
Source: RNAcentral
CGUUACGGCCAUACCAACUGGCUAUGCCCAUCUCAUCUGAUCUCGGGAAGCUAAGCAGGUUUGGGCCUGGUUAAUACUUGGAUGGGAGACCGCCUGGGAAUACCAGGUGCUGUACUUU